Molecule: ribosomal RNA, 497 nt
Filed under: uncultured bacterium
Lineage: Bacteria
Description: partial 16S ribosomal RNA
Rfam family: Bacterial small subunit ribosomal RNA
Source: RNAcentral
GAUGAACGCUGGCGGCGUGCCUAGUACAUGCAAGUCGAGCGAACAGAUGAGGAGCUUGCUCCUCUGACGUUAGCGGCGGACGGGUGAGUAACACGUGGAUAACCUACCUAUAAGACUGGGAUAACUACGGGAAACCGGAGCUAAUACCGGAUAAUAUAUUGAACCGCAUGGUACAAUAGUGAAAGACGGUUUUGCUGUCACUUAUAGAUGGAUCCGCGCCGCAUUAGCUAGUUGGUAAGGUAACGGCUUACCAAGGCAACGAUGCGUAGCCGACCUGAGAGGGUGAUCGGCCACACUGGAACUGAGACACGGUCCAGACUCCUACGGGAGGCAGCAGUAGGGAAUCUUCCGCAAUGGGCGAAAGCCUGACGGAGCAACGCCGCGUGAGUGAUGAAGGUCUUCGGAUCGUAAAACUCUGUUAUUAGGGAAGAACAAAUGUGUAAGUAACUAUGCACGUCUUGACGGUACCUAAUCAGAAAGCCACGGCUAACUACGUG